AUUGAACGCUGGCGGCAGGCCUAACACAUGCAAGUCGAGCGGAUGAAGGGAGCUUGCUCCUGGAUUCAGCGGCGGACGGGUGAGUAAUGCCUAGGAAUCUGCCUGGUAGUGGGGGAUAACGUCCGGAAACGGGCGCUAAUACCGCAUACGUCCUGAGGGAGAAAGUGGGGGUUCUUCGGACCUCACGUAUUCAGAUAAGCCUAGGUCGGAUUAGCUAGUUGAUGGGGUAAAGGCCUACCAAGGCGACGAUCCGUAACUGGUCUGAGAGGAUGAUCAGUCACACUGGAACUGAGACACGGUCCAGACUCCUACGGGAGGCAGCAGUGGGGAAUAUUGGACAAUGGGCGAAAGCCUGAUCCAGCCAUGCCGCGUGUGUGAAGAAGGUCUUCGGAUUGUAAAGCACUUUAAGUUGGGAGGAAGGGCAGUAAGUUAAUACCUUGCUGUUUUGACGUUACCAACAGGAUAAGCACCGGCUAACUUCGUG
RNAcentral lists this ribosomal RNA (484 nucleotides) under uncultured bacterium. RNAcentral's name for it is "partial 16S ribosomal RNA". It matches the Rfam family "Bacterial small subunit ribosomal RNA", at positions 30 to 507 of the family's 1533-position model. The record is from RNAcentral.